Small nuclear RNA from Zalophus californianus (California sea lion), 107 nucleotides. The record is from Ensembl. NCBI's taxonomy places the organism in Eukaryota, Metazoa, Chordata, Mammalia, Carnivora, Otariidae.
GUGCUCACUUCAACAGCACAUAUACUACAAUUAGAACAACAGAGAGAAGAUUAACAUGGCUCCUGCACAAGGAUGACACACAAAUUCAUGAAGUAUUCUGUAUUUUU